This 207-nucleotide ribosomal RNA is filed under the name uncultured bacterium. RNAcentral describes it as "partial 16S ribosomal RNA". It matches the Rfam family "Bacterial small subunit ribosomal RNA", at positions 568 to 774 of the family's 1533-position model. The record is from RNAcentral.
CGUGUAGGCGGCCAGGUAGGUCUGCUGUGAAAACUCGGGGCUUAACCUCGAGAUGUCGGCAGAAACCAUCUGGCUAGAGUCCGGAAGAGGAGAAUGGAAUUCCCGGUGUAGCGGUGAAAUGCGCAGAUAUCGGGAAGAACACCCGUGGCGAAGGCGGUUCUCUGGGACGGUACUGACGCUGAGACGCGAAAGCGUGGGGAGCGAACA